This 107-nucleotide small nuclear RNA is filed under the name Leptinotarsa decemlineata (Colorado potato beetle). Lineage: Eukaryota; Metazoa; Arthropoda; Insecta; Coleoptera; Chrysomelidae. The record is from RNAcentral.
GUACUGGCUUCGGCGCUACAUAUACUAAAAUUGGAACGAUACAGAAAAUAUUAACAUGGCCCGUGUGCAAGAAUGACAUGCAAAAUCGUGAAGCGUUCCACAUUUUC